Long non-coding RNA from Musa acuminata AAA Group (dessert banana), 1213 nucleotides. RefSeq lists it as uncharacterized. Lineage: Eukaryota; Viridiplantae; Streptophyta; Magnoliopsida; Zingiberales; Musaceae. The record is from RefSeq and is a predicted model, not a curated record. The transcript is spliced from 4 exons.
CAUAGGUGCACAUGCACCGAGCUGGAUCGAUCCCAUUUGGGAACAAGAACAAGGGAUGCACUUGUUGUCGUCUUGCUAUGGCAUUGUCUCCGGUGUGCGUGCCGAUAUGAUUCGUGUUUGGCCAUAUGUCGCGGUCUCAGGCUGGCAAUUGUGCGAGUGACGUAACGUUUAAGCGCGUUACAGGUUUUCAAUGGCGUUACUGUUAGAUGUAUUAGCAAACGUAUUUUACGUAAUGUUUCGUUGGUUCUCCCAUCUCCGCCGUUCCAUUCCGCUCACCGACAUUGAUUCCAAGGAGGAGGCGGCGGUAGCGGUGAUGGCCGCUGCUUCGCCUCCCACUCCGACCACCAGCAGUUCGCCUCAGGUCCGGCAGUUGUCCUGCACCAAAUGCUUCGUUGCGCUUUGGUUCUGCUAUCUGGCGUGGUCAAAUCAUUGAAGUGGUGGAGCUCUCAGUGGCCUUUGCCUUAGGAAUCGCUCCAAAAGUCUCGACACUGUUGUUCUCGCCCAACGUCGUGCGUGCCAAGGGCUACUCUGUCUGUCAAAGACAUUGUUGUUUUGAUUGCUUAAGAAGAUCCUAUGUGAUUUGAAUGGAAGGGGAUGGUGGGCACGGCUUAGUGUCAUCAAGGUGUUUGUGCAAACGUCCGUGUGAAUGUGCUGGAUCUUGAGCAAGAUGGUCGUGGGUUAGGCACAGAUCAUGUUGGGAAAAUGCUUCGCUAUAUGGAAGAGUGGAGGUUAUGUUCCUGAAGAUGGUGUGUGCAGUUGGUUCAUUAUAUUGGAUGAUCGUGGGUGCGUGCAGUUGGUUCAUUAUGCUCCCGAAGCUUGUGCCGGAGGCUGAGUCUCUAAAUGUGGUGCAUGUGAUGAAUGGCAAAAUCUCAUGGAGAUUACCAAAGCUUGGAGUGAAUCAUGUUAGCGUUUCCUUCAAUGAGAUGGCAUUUUGCUAAAAGUACUCUUCAACACCCUGAUGAAUAGCUUUCAUAAGUGGAGAGAAAGCAGAACAAUAUAUAUCUGUACGAAUCGGAAGGUGGAGGAAGCUUCAGUGGACUGAUGGUAAUGUAUGACAUAUUUUCCAGCUUCCUCCUAAAUCUGGCUCAUGACCUCUAUUUUGAAACAUGAAAUUCUGCACUUGUUAAUCAAUGACUAUGUAUGUUGACUAACUAUCAGUAUUCUUUUCGAGAUCUACAAAUAUAUAAUCCGGUAGGUUCUAAAGUUUACCAUA